RNAcentral lists this ribosomal RNA (1676 nucleotides) under Staphylococcus aureus. Its description in RNAcentral is "partial 23S ribosomal RNA". It matches the Rfam family "Bacterial large subunit ribosomal RNA", at positions 1250 to 2925 of the family's 2925-position model. Lineage: Bacteria; Bacillati; Bacillota; Bacilli; Caryophanales; Staphylococcaceae. The record is from RNAcentral.
UUGAAGCAUGAUCGUAAGGACAUGUGGAGCGCUUAGAAGUGAGAAUGCCGGUGUGAGUAGUGAAAGACGGGUGAGAAUCCCGUCCACCGAUUGACUAAGGUUUCCAGAGGAAGGCUCGUCCGCUCUGGGUUAGUCGGGUCCUAAGCUGAGGCCGACAGGCGUAGGCGAUGGAUAACAGGUUGAUAUUCCUGUACCACCUAUAAUCGUUUUAAUCGAUGGGGGGACGCAGUAGGAUAGGCGAAGCGUGCGAUUGGAUUGCACGUCUAAGCAGUAAGGCUGAGUAUUAGGCAAAUCCGGUACUCGUUAAGGCUGAGCUGUGAUGGGGAGAAGACAUUGUGUCUUCGAGUCGUUGAUUUCACACUGCCGAGAAAAGCCUCUAGAUAGAAAAUAGGUGCCCGUACCGCAAACCGACACAGGUAGUCAAGAUGAGAAUUCUAAGGUGAGCGAGCGAACUCUCGUUAAGGAACUCGGCAAAAUGACCCCGUAACUUCGGGAGAAGGGGUGCUCUUUAGGGUUAACGCCCAGAAGAGCCGCAGUGAAUAGGCCCAAGCGACUGUUUAUCAAAAACACAGGUCUCUGCUAAACCGUAAGGUGAUGUAUAGGGGCUGACGCCUGCCCGGUGCUGGAAGGUUAAGAGGAGUGGUUAGCUUCUGCGAAGCUACGAAUCGAAGCCCCAGUAAACGGCGGCCGUAACUAUAACGGUCCUAAGGUAGCGAAAUUCCUUGUCGGGUAAGUUCCGACCCGCACGAAAGGCGUAACGAUUUGGGCACUGUCUCAACGAGAGACUCGGUGAAAUCAUAGUACCUGUGAAGAUGCAGGUUACCCGCGACAGGACGGAAAGACCCCGUGGAGCUUUACUGUAGCCUGAUAUUGAAAUUCGGCACAGCUUGUACAGGAUAGGUAGGAGCCUUUGAAACGUGAGCGCUAGCUUACGUGGAGGCGCUGGUGGGAUACUACCCUAGCUGUGUUGGCUUUCUAACCCGCACCACUUAUCGUGGUGGGAGACAGUGUCAGGCGGGCAGUUUGACUGGGGCGGUCGCCUCCUAAAAGGUAACGGAGGCGCUCAAAGGUUCCCUCAGAAUGGUUGGAAAUCAUUCAUAGAGUGUAAAGGCAUAAGGGAGCUUGACUGCGAGACCUACAAGUCGAGCAGGGUCGAAAGACGGACUUAGUGAUCCGGUGGUUCCGCAUGGAAGGGCCAUCGCUCAACGGAUAAAAGCUACCCCGGGGAUAACAGGCUUAUCUCCCCCAAGAGUUCACAUCGACGGGGAGGUUUGGCACCUCGAUGUCGGCUCAUCGCAUCCUGGGGCUGUAGUCGGUCCCAAGGGUUGGGCUGUUCGCCCAUUAAAGCGGUACGCGAGCUGGGUUCAGAACGUCGUGAGACAGUUCGGUCCCUAUCCGUCGUGGGCGUAGGAAAUUUGAGAGGAGCUGUCCUUAGUACGAGAGGACCGGGAUGGACAUACCUCUGGUGUACCAGUUGUCGUGCCAACGGCAUAGCUGGGUAGCUAUGUGUGGACGGGAUAAGUGCUGAAAGCAUCUAAGCAUGAAGCCCCCCUCAAGAUGAGAUUUCCCAACUUCGGUUAUAAGAUCCCUCAAAGAUGAUGAGGUUAAUAGGUUCGAGGUGGAAGCAUGGUGACAUGUGGAGCUGACGAAUACUAAUCGAUCGAAGACUUAAUCAA